AGCAUUUCCGUCGCCCUUCUUUUAACCAGCAAACCCUCCACGGUGUUUUUAUUUUCACCUCCUCACCACACAAUCCCCUUCUCCGUCUUCCCGCGGAUUCUCAGGCCAGCUUCCGGUCGCUCCCCGCCUCCUCCGGCGAUUUGAGUUACCCGCGGCUUCUGAAAUCUUCUCCUGUUGCUGGAGAAAUGCGUGAGCAGCUUGCCGCAGCUUGAUGAGCGUUCAGCCAUGCCGACGCUACACGGACCCGUUCUGUUCGUCAGGCCCGGUGCUUACCAAGAGCUGAAACCGUUCCCGAAAAACGCCGCUGGUUCGUGUAGCAAUUUAUUGGGUUGCAACACAAUUUGUAGUUCCGUCGAAGACCAUCAUGUACAGAAACCACACAUUGUUUCCAGCUUCAGAGUUAACUUUACCAGAGUCAGCCAUUAUCUUCAGAGAAGCUUAAAUGAGAGAACUACACGGCACUGGCUGCAUCGGUUUCAUGUUAAUGCUUCAUCGGACGAGGACUUCCGCUCGUCGCGUAAUAUAGCAACCAGCCUGUUCAAGCAGUAUAAGAAUGUCAUUGAUCGAGGAGGUGGAGAUAACAUAAAAGGGUUUGUUAGUGCUGGGGUGCAAGCAUAUGCCCUAGGCUGUACAGAAGAGGGGCUUAGAAAGGAACUUAUGGAUAUAAAAAAUUCUGGUGUCAAGAUCGAAGGCCUGCAAUCCUAUGGAGGAACAAGCUUGAGCUUCAAAGUUCGUUCUUUUGAGGUAAAGGAGUGCAUCCUGUGGCUCAGUAUAGUGUUCAUUACAAUCUUGUGCACGCCACAGCCGACGGUCAUCAGGUGGUCUACCACCCCACCGGUGUCGGCGGAUGUCUUGCAUCAGUGGAAAGGAUUUUGUGCCCUGAUAGCAAACGCUUACUACACCAAGGGCAUGGCAUGGCUACCAGUGAAAACAUUGCAGCUGGAACAGAUGGCUGUGACAGGCAGUUCGGAGGAGCCAUCGCUAGUAGCAAGUCGGAUGCAGUUAGUUUUCAGUACAUUAGAGGUAGUCAGCCCCCAAUGGCCAAGAGUGUGAUGGAGGGAAGAGCAAGCAAUAUGAUCAUACAAAGGCCUGCAAGUCUACAGAACCCAUGCCACAUCCAAAGCCAGGGACGAUUCUUCUUUCUCUAAUGUGAAUGUACUGAAGAAACAGGUCUAUUGCACUGAAGAUUGUGAAAUAUUUGGUAAAUACAUGUAUAUAGAACCCACAGCUGCUGUAAAUCUUCGUCUUCAGCUACGAUAUAAUGGAACCGAACAUGUAUGUGACUGCUACACCUCUCUGGUUCGCACACUUUUUUGCCGUUUAGUUUGCUAGACAUGCGUCGAAUUCC
This 1348-nucleotide ribosomal RNA is filed under the name Triticum aestivum (bread wheat). RNAcentral's name for it is "partial small subunit ribosomal RNA". The record is from RNAcentral. Lineage: Eukaryota; Viridiplantae; Streptophyta; Magnoliopsida; Poales; Poaceae.